Molecule: long non-coding RNA, 282 nt
Organism: Mauremys reevesii (Reeves's turtle)
Lineage: Eukaryota; Metazoa; Chordata; Testudines; Geoemydidae
Exons: 3
Source: RefSeq, a predicted model, not a curated record
GUCCUGGAGCCAGAGUGAAAGUGGAAGAAACAGGAAACAAGAAGAUAUGUCCCUCUAUCAGGUGUGUUGCACAUGCCCAUUCCACAUGGCUCGAGCUGCCCAAUGGGUACUGCUGAAGGAAAAGUUUUCGAUGGCCGUGGGCUGGGCACACAGACACCAAGAGUGGAAUGUGUAAUCACUUGAACAAGAAGCAUUGGAUUAGGAACAGCCAAGCUUAUUACAGGAAUCUCAAUGCAAAGUAGUUUGAUGUCCAGGCUGGCAACAUGGGAAAGCCACAUCCAG